Molecule: long non-coding RNA, 1331 nt
Filed under: Cricetulus griseus (Chinese hamster)
Lineage: Eukaryota; Metazoa; Chordata; Mammalia; Rodentia; Cricetidae
Description: lncRNA (ENSCGRG00015039766.1)
Source: RNAcentral
GGAAGAUAGGCAGGAUUAGGAGACGAGGAGAAUUCUGGGAAAGGUAGAUGGAGAGAUACCGGGAAGAGAUGCCAUGUAGCCACCAAAGGAGUAACAGGUCCGGACAUUCUCUGAUUCAUCAGCAAAUACCCAAAAAGGACUGUCCUUACACCUGACUUGACAGUCACAGAGGUCUGUGCUGGACUAACUGAGAUAAUCAGGGCCAGUUGUGACUAAGAGCAGGUAGGCAGAGGAAGAGCUUGAAGACUGUGUUGAGAACUAAGCCCAAGCAAUGGAUGCUGCAACUGACCACGCGGGAAGCAGCUGCCACAAACAGCUCCUGCUGGCAGCUGGCAAUUAGAAAGGGGGGGAUCUUGGAGUUAAUUUGAAGAGAAUUAUUGGGCCAUCUGGAGGGCCUUAUCAAAAGAGAAAAAUCUUGGAGGAACAGAGACCAGGACCAAAAAAAAAUCACAAGAGAGGAUUAUCUACGAGGGAGCAGCUUAUCUUCAGUUCACGCUGCAGUGAAGAAGAAAGAGACCCGAGACAGAGAAAAUAGUAGUGUUCUUAUGAUUAUCUUUCUUACUCUGCAGUGAAGAUCAUUUCUUCUGGAAACAUUGAAAGCAUCUAGUUAAUUCUUGGAACACUAGGUGAUGUGGUUUCACAUAUAAUAAAUCUUUAUGUAAUGUAAUGUAAUGUAUUGUGUUCUGCUUCUGUUUGUAUAUAAUUCUGAAAUUAUAUUGCUAUAUGCCCAUAUGUGUUUUUUUUUGUUUGCCCUGACUCUCCCACUCUUUGACGCUGACAGAAAAAAUUACUCAUUUCCCCACUCCCAAAUUUUAAUGUGAAGAAAACAUGGUGUACUUUUGAGUUGUUAGAAAUAAACUGUUUUUAUGGCAUCUGUAUGACUUGAACACUUGUGCUUACAGAAAAUACAUUGUUUGUUUGUGAGUCCUGUUUUUCCUCUAUUGUUUUACAUAAUUUAUUAAUUGUGGUUUUAGAACUGAAACUCACCUCAAGCAAUGAUAGCAAAUUUGACUUUGUUAAGGUCUCCAGGUCCUUAACUAUUAAGCUACUAUUAUAUUUUAAAAAUUUUUAGAGUUAUUGAUUUUUGUACUUGAUUAUUGUACUUGAUUUUUAUGUUUCCCUGCUUAUAUUUUGUUCAGAUGACCUGUCUUUUAGAGAAAAUGUUUAAUUAAAUAUUGAUUUCUUUCUAAGAAUCCUGGGCCUAAGAGGCUGAUUGGCACAUUUCCAGUAUCUACAGAUAAUCACAGUUGCUCUUCUGUAUUCUCAUUGGAGAUUCCACAGAGUAUGUGGUUUUACAAUGCUGAAAAUUGUGGAGUGUUCCAAGAAAUAAA